UGGGGAAUAUUGCACAAUGGGCGAAAGCCUGAUGCAGCAACGCCGCGUGAGUGAUGAAGGUCUUCGGAUUGUAAAGCUCUGUCUUUUGGGACGAUAAUGACGGUACCAAAGGAGGAAGCCACGGCUAACUACGUGCCAGCAGCCGCGGUAAUACGUAGGUGGCGAGCGUUGUCCGGAUUUACUGGGCGUAAAGGGUGCGUAGGCGGAUGUUUAAGUGAGAUGUGAAAUACCCGGGCUUAACUUGGGUGCUGCAUUUCAAACUGGAUAUCUAGAGUGCAGGAGAGGAGAAUGGAAUUCCUAGUGUAGCGGUGAAAUGCGUAGAGAUUAGGAAGAACACCAGUGGCGAAGGCGAUUCUCUGGACUGUAACUGACGCUGAGGCACGAAAGCGUGGGUAGCAAACAGGAUUAGAUACCCUGGUAGCCCACGCCGUAAAACGAUGAGUACUAGGUGUAGGAGGUAUCGACCCCUUCUGUGCCGCAGUAAACACAUUAAGUACUCCGCCUGGGAAGUACGAUCGCAAGAUUAAAAC
This 530-nucleotide ribosomal RNA is filed under the name uncultured bacterium. RNAcentral describes it as "partial 16S ribosomal RNA". It matches the Rfam family "Bacterial small subunit ribosomal RNA", at positions 355 to 900 of the family's 1533-position model. The record is from RNAcentral.